Molecule: long non-coding RNA, 1185 nt
Organism: Aphis gossypii (cotton aphid)
Lineage: Eukaryota; Metazoa; Arthropoda; Insecta; Hemiptera; Aphididae
Exons: 3
Source: RefSeq, a predicted model, not a curated record
GCAUGGAGGGGCAUGGCAGCGAUAAGCAUGACGGGGCAUGGCACGCGCAUGAUAGGAUGGCGGAGUAAUGGGAUCAGUGGGAUUUGCGGGGGUCACAGAACCGACCAAAACAUACUACUCUUGGUUAUUUGAAAUUUUUGUAUCAGUGUAGCUAUUAUUAUUAAUAUUGUUGUGAUAUUAUAAAUUUAGAAUAGUAUAAUAGGACGGCAUUUUAAAAUUUUCACCAAAAAUGGCACUGGACAGCAGCCCCAAUAACGUAAUUCACUGUACGCCUAUCGAUUGGAAUUUCUAUCAAGCGUCAUUAAAAACGAUGCGCUAAAAAAUACAUUAAGCGUUGAGAUUGAUUGCAUUUUUAUAUCCAGCAAUGGGUUUUAAUCAGACACAUGUGCGUGUGCCGUGUAGAUAACGCAUGCCUAUAUGAUGGUGUACGAAAAAACGGCGGACAUGAUAUGUACCAUGUGUUUGUGUGCUCACCUCUGUGGACUAAAACUCGCAAGCGAUUCUAACCCAUCUAUUUCUUCGCCUAGCUACGUCGAAUCCGUCGGUGUUCAGAUGUAUUACACACCACAAGUAUUUCGAUUAAAAAGAGACAUAUUUUCUUAGUCAUGCGAGUGCGCAACGAAUGAAGAAAAACUCGAUCGUGACAAUUUAUUGUAUCACUACAUUGGCAGAUUUGCUUAUUGGAAAAUGACAUGUGCAAAUCAUGUGAGAUUGAUAUGAUGUACAAUGACAAAUUAUCGAUAAGUGUCCAGCUUCAAAAAUUGUGUGACAAGUCUUAUUAUUAUUCAAAAUUAAAUACUGAUUUAACUAUUUUUUUUUUUUAAAUUAUAAUCAUAAUUUUAAAAAGCCAAAAUUUUAUAUUGAUAAUACAAUAUUAUUUUUAAAGUAAUCAAAUGUUUAAUUUUUGUAACUAUUCGGUUUUAUAGUAUUACAACAUUUAGAAUUUAAUUAAAAGUAUAUUAUAGUAGAAAGUAAAAACAUGAUAUUGCAGAACAAUUAGGAACCAACUUUCAUCCAGAUUACCGGAAGUUUUUCAACGGUACAUAAAAUAAUAUAUUUAUUAUAUAUAUUUAUUGUAUCUCUUAUUGCAGUUGUACGAAAUUGACACAUCAAAUUAGUAAUUUGUUGUUGUCCUUUGUGAUUUUAGAAUUAUUUUUUUAGUCAUUAUUAUAUUUAAUAUUUCUA